Drosophila biarmipes is the source of this 1107-nucleotide long non-coding RNA. RefSeq lists it as uncharacterized. The transcript is spliced from 4 exons. The record is from RefSeq and is a predicted model, not a curated record. NCBI's taxonomy places the organism in Eukaryota, Metazoa, Arthropoda, Insecta, Diptera, Drosophilidae.
UGUCUGCUCGUGUAGAGAUGUCUUUUUUGUUUUCCUGGCAAAAGCCCACCUCCCAGACAUUUCUUUUUAACUCGGCAGCCGUUCGAAGCAGUUCGAUUUCUUUGUGAUCCAAGCGCCUAGCUCUUGAAAAACCGAUAGCCCCGAAGCAAUAUCUAUCUCUUCUACAAUAUAUCGAUAUAUAAAUGCACCGAUUGAUAAUGAUGCCCGUGCGUACUUUUCCCCUUGUGUACGUCGUAUUCGGGGAAGAUUCCAUGCCGGAACCAGAACCCGAUGAUCUUUAUUCAGACGAUGAUUACAUCGAGGAAAGCGAUACCGAUUCGGAGUCUGAAGAAGCGAUUCUAGAACCAAUAGAUGAAUACGAUUCCGAUGACUACUUCUCGGACUCUGACUUUUCCCUUUCCUAUAACUAAUUUAUACUACAUCAACACACAAUUUUACAAUGAGCUGUCAAGAAGCUAAAUAAAACAAUUACAAAUUAAAUAUUUUUGUAUAUAUUUGCCCAAGGUUCUAGACUUUCUGGAGGCAUAAAAUGGCGCACAUCGCAUCCGCAACAUUUGAGAAACGCUGUCCUACGGCUCAACUUUUUUGCGAUAAUGAAAGGGCACUUUUGCCCACCAGCAGGCAAAACUGGAGCACGGAGAUCACAGCGUAUGCAUUUUUCGCACGUUUUAAAUUGUGACUGCGACAUCGCAACCCUUAACCCCUCGCUUAACCCUUCGAUCGAGGUGGUUGCGACCCCGGCGGUUGUCUGCUGAUGCUAAACGUAUUAACCCAUGACCGCUUUAGCCAUUGUUUAUUGCCUAAUUUGCGGUUAAAUUUUGAUUUUGGCACAAUGAUUUCAUUUUCGAUUUCGCAUUUUCAGACAGAUUGAGAUUUAUGUGUGUGCCUGCUUGCCAAAUAAUAAGUCUGAGGAGAGUGUGCGAAUUUUUGGCGCGCCGUGUGCAGCGAUAAGGAAAAACACAAAGGAUCUCGAAAGGAAGACGUGAGAAAGAGCCAAAUUGGGAGGGCAAAAUAAAUCAGAUGAUCGCCCUACGGAAUGUAUGCAUGUAGGACAACCCAUAGUAAAACCCAUACUAAAAAAUAUUUAAUAAGCUCCAUUAAUCAUAC